Molecule: ribosomal RNA, 489 nt
Filed under: Pseudomonas sp. CL3.6
Lineage: Bacteria; Pseudomonadati; Pseudomonadota; Gammaproteobacteria; Pseudomonadales; Pseudomonadaceae
Description: bacterial SSU rRNA
Rfam family: Bacterial small subunit ribosomal RNA
Source: RNAcentral
UUGAUCCAUGGCUCAGAUUGAACGCUGGCGGCAGGCCUAACACAUGCACGUCGAGCGGCAGCACGGGUACUUGUACCUGGUGGCGAGCGGCGGACGGGUGAGUAAUGCCUAGGAAUCUGCCUGGUAGUGGGGGAUAACGCUCGGAAACGGACGCUAAUACCGCAUACGUCCUACGGGAGAAAGCAGGGGACCUUCGGGCCUUGCGCUAUCAGAUGAGCCUAGGUCGGAUUAGCUAGUUGGUGAGGUAAUGGCUCACCAAGGCGACGAUCCGUAACUGGUCUGAGAGGAUGAUCAGUCACACUGGAACUGAGACACGGUCCAGACUCCUACGGGAGGCAGCAGUGGGGAAUAUUGGACAAUGGGCGAAAGCCUGAUCCAGCCAUGCCGCGUGUGUGAAGAAGGUCUUCGGAUUGUAAAGCACUUUAAGUUGGGAGGAAGGGCAGUUACCUAAUACGUAUCUGUUUUGACGUUACCGACAGAAUAAGCACC